This 460-nucleotide ribosomal RNA is filed under the name uncultured bacterium. RNAcentral describes it as "partial 16S ribosomal RNA". It matches the Rfam family "Bacterial small subunit ribosomal RNA", at positions 338 to 795 of the family's 1533-position model. The record is from RNAcentral.
CCUACGGGUGGCAGCAGUGAGGAAUAUUGGUCAAUGGACGAGAGUCUGAACCAGCCAAGUAGCGUGAAGGAUGACUGCCCUAUGGGUUGUAAACUUCUUUUAUAUGGGAAUAAAAUGUUCCACGUGUGGGAUUUUGUAUGUACCAUAUGAAUAAGGAUCGGCUAACUCCGUGCCAGCAGCCGCGGUAAUACGGAGGAUCCGAGCGUUAUCCGGAUUUAUUGGGUUUAAAGGGAGCGUAGGGUGGUUGUUAAGUCAGUUGUGAAAGUGUGCGGCUCAAACGUAAAAUUGCAGUUGAAACUGGCAGGCUUGAGUACAUGAGAGGUGGGCGGAAUUCGUGGUGUAGCGGUGAAAUGCUUAGAUAUCACGAAGAACUCCGAUUGCGAAGGCAGCUCACUGGACUGCAACUGACACUGAGGCUCGAAAGUGUGGGUAUCAAACAGGAUUAGAUACCCGGGUAGUC